This 241-nucleotide long non-coding RNA is filed under the name Physcomitrium patens. RNAcentral's name for it is "long non-coding RNA (PPAT_LNC014175)". Lineage: Eukaryota; Viridiplantae; Streptophyta; Bryopsida; Funariales; Funariaceae. The record is from RNAcentral.
UUUUUCUACAAUCCUGCACCUUUGUUACAAAAAGUGUGUAAACAGAGAGGGCCCAGAGAGUUUAAUUGUACCCAUCUGGGCAGUUACAAGUAGCAUGCUCCACAGACAGUCACAUGGACAAUGAAUUUGUGCCUAGAAGAAGGUGGCACCAUUCUACAUGUCCAAGUCACUGAAGCUGCUUUGCUUGUGUGUUUGUGCUGUAAAUAGAUUAGUGUUAUCUUCUUUUUUCCUCCUCCUCCUC